GAUAAAAAAAGACCACCCACAAAGUAUAAAUGAAAGUCAGUGGACAGAUUAUUCAUGUGCACAUUCUCUUAAUAAUGAAAGUUUUUUUUUUAUCACUUUUUCAUCUUUGCAAUAUUACAAAAUGCAAUUCAUAAUGAUAUCAUCGCUUAGGAAGUGCCAUCAACAUUUUGGAGGGAAGAAACAUGGAAAACAACAGUACCAGGGCGUGAUGAGCUCAUUAAGAUGGAUCAAUCUGAGGAAGCAGUGCCUGCUGAACUGAUAACGCCACAUCCAUGUCUGAUACCUGUUCCUGCCAUCCUGGCUCCCCAUCGACCUGACAUCAGGGCACACUGACAUCCAGAGCUUUUCAGCAUUACUGCUCCCCUGGAGGGAUCAUAGGAGUCUUUCAUCUGAGCACUGACGACGGUGGAGCAGCUCUUUGAUCAGUGUUAUUAUUUAGACGAUUCGUCAUUUUGAUGUGUGGUUUAGUAUGUGCCUCUCACACAAGUUGGCAGGUUUCACUGUGAGUUUCCUCGGGGUAAAUAGUCCGUUGGAGAAAGUCCGAUCAGAAUAUCCAAGAUCAAUGGUAACAGUUCGAUCCAUAUUUUUAAGUGUCAACUUCAUGGUUUGGUUUUAAAUUGUAAGUGACACAAACAAUAGCAUAUGUCAGACGCAUGCAGAGACGCUACUAGCAAAGUGAAAAUAUGGAGUCUGUUUCAAAAGGAGGGAAAAAAAAGAAAUAACAUGUUAGCAGAUGUAUUAAUUCCUCCAUAGCUGCGGCUAUUUUUAGGCCACGGUUAAACGUUUCAUCCUACAUAUUGUGACAGAUCGAUGGGAAAAUAAAUAAAUAAAUAAAUGGGAUAGACAUAGCCAACGAAACCUA
Cyprinus carpio (common carp) is the source of this 862-nucleotide long non-coding RNA. RefSeq lists it as uncharacterized. The record is from RefSeq and is a predicted model, not a curated record. NCBI's taxonomy places the organism in Eukaryota, Metazoa, Chordata, Actinopteri, Cypriniformes, Cyprinidae. The transcript is spliced from 2 exons.